Molecule: ribosomal RNA, 497 nt
Filed under: uncultured bacterium
Lineage: Bacteria
Description: partial 16S ribosomal RNA
Rfam family: Bacterial small subunit ribosomal RNA
Source: RNAcentral
GAUGAACGCUGGCGGCGUGCCUAAUACAUGCAAGUCGAGCGAACAGACGAGGAGCUUGCUCCUCUGACGUUAGCGGCGGACGGGUGAGUAACACGUGGAUAACCUACCUAUAAGACUGGGAUAACUUCGGGACACCGGAGCUAAUACCGGAUAAUAUAUUGAACCGCAUGGUUCAAUAGUGAAAGACGGUUUUGCUGUCACUUAUAGCUGGAUCCGCGCCGCAUUAGCUAGUUGGUAAGGUAACGGCUUACCAAGGCGACGAUGCGUAGCCGACCUGAGAGGGUGAUCGGCCACACUGGAGCUGAGACACGGUCCAGACUACUACGGGAGGCAGCAGUAGGGAAUCUUCCGCAAUGGGCGAAAGCCUGACGGAGCAACGCCGCGUGAGUGAUGAAGGUCUUCGGAGCGUAAAACUCUGUUAUUAGGGAAGAACAAAUGUGUAAGUAACUAUGCACGUCUUGACGGUACCUAAUCAGAAAGCCACGGCUAACUACGUG